Non-coding RNA from Phrynosoma platyrhinos (Desert horned lizard), 72 nucleotides. The record is from the annotation of a GenBank genome assembly. NCBI's taxonomy places the organism in Eukaryota, Metazoa, Chordata, Lepidosauria, Squamata, Phrynosomatidae.
GCCAGUGUGACAUAAUGGUUUGAGUUUUGGACUAUGACUCCGGAGACCAGGGUUCAAUUCUCCACUUGGCCA